GUAUCUGUGAUAUGUUUAUCUGUAUCUGUGAAUGCAUCUUAUCUUUUCGCCUCACUAGUCACUUCUAGAAACACAACCCUUCUUUAGAUGGAAUAGAAAAAGUAGUUCUCAAAUUUCAAUGAAGUGGGUUUCACAAAGUCAACCAAAUUGAAACAUAAUAUUUUUAAUAAAUCAGAUGUACUUUGAUAUUCUUGCUUUAACUUUACCAGUGUAUGUUGAGUUUUCUAUUACUCCUUCAAUUCCCUGAAUGCAUGCUGGCAUUUUCUCUUAUUACUAUUGGGUUCUUUCUGCUUUUUUCUAAUACAUAUGCAUUUAACCAUUCCAGUGGAACCUGUGGUAAUGCUGUGUCCAUAAUUGGUGCUUCUUGCAAGUUCAUAAUUUAACAAUAUGGGCUUUCAAUUUAUGUUUCAUUUUGUGCAAUAUGCUAUUAUUAAUAUGAUUAUUCAUAAAAUGGCUUCUUCAGUGAGGAAGUCUUUUAUCUUUUCCCCUCAUUUUGGUUUUGCCUUCAUUUAACUAGGAUUAAAAGCCUAUCACUAUACAGCAGUUAAUGAUCUCUUCACCAUAUCUCAAACUUUGUGUUUGGAGUGUGGGGAAGAGGGGGCAGGGGUGGGACAUGACACAUGAUUUCUUUUUCUGAGUUGUAAAAUGUUUGAGUCAAUACAGCUGGUGACAGAUUUAUGCAUGAAAAUUUUCUGUUGAAGUAGACAUUCUAGAUUCCUUUUGGUUGCAUUGGUGAUAUAGCUGAACACAUCAUACGUUUGAAGUUGAUCAGGGGGAUAUUUAUGAUGGCUGUCAAUUAUAGGCUUAUUGCUGAUGUGUGGGGUUGGAUGGUACAGAGGGUGCUGAUUUUACUGAUGGCAGUAUUCCUAUAUUUGUUGAUUUUCGGGCCCCUAAUUGGCAAUUAUAGGUUUGAGACGUCUAUUUGUGCCCCAAGUUUUACAUGCUUUGGAGUUUGAACCUGAGAUGGUCUGCUAUUAAGGAUGGGUUUGAAGUCAUGGUUCCAAGUUAUAAUAUGAACUGCAAGUCAUUACUUUUGGGUUAUUCAUGAGACAUUACUUGCCAAAUGGUCAAUAAGUGUCAGCAUAAUAUAUUAAAUUGUUUGCUAUGCUUGAACUAUGUAUAACGAUUUUCG
Molecule: unclassified non-coding RNA, 1132 nt
Filed under: Hevea brasiliensis (rubber tree)
Lineage: Eukaryota; Viridiplantae; Streptophyta; Magnoliopsida; Malpighiales; Euphorbiaceae
Source: RNAcentral